UACGACGGGGGCUAGCGUUGUUCGGAAUUACUGGGCGUAAAGCGCGCGCAGGCGGCUAUCCAAGUCAGUGGUGCAAGCCCGGAGCUCAACUCCGGAACUGCCAUUGAAACUGUUUAGCUUGAGGACGAGAGAGGUGAGUGGAAUUCCCAGUGGAGAGGUGAAAGGCGUAGAUAUGGGGAAGAACACCGGUGGCGAAGGCGGCUCACGGGCGCGUAUCUGACGCUCAGGCGCGACAGCGUGGGGAUCAAACAGG
RNAcentral lists this ribosomal RNA (253 nucleotides) under uncultured bacterium. Its description in RNAcentral is "partial 16S ribosomal RNA". It matches the Rfam family "Bacterial small subunit ribosomal RNA", at positions 524 to 776 of the family's 1533-position model. The record is from RNAcentral.